GACGGAGGGGGCAAGCGUUGUCCGGAAUUACUGGGCGUAAAGAGCUCGUAGGCGGUCGCAUACGGCGGUGGUGAAAGCUCCUGGCUUAACUGGGAGAGGCCCGCCGCAACGGUGCGACUCGAGGAUGGUAGAGGCAGAUGGAAUUCCUGGUGUAGCGGUGAAAUGCGUAGAGAUCAGGAGGAACACCCGUGGCGAAGGCGGUCUGCUGGGCCAUAUCUGACGCUGAGGAGCGAAAGCUAGGGGAGCGAACGGGAUUAGAUACCCCGGUAGUCCUAGCCGUAAACGAUGGAUACUAGGUGUCAGCGGUAUCGACCCCGCUGGUGCCGGAGCUAACGCGUGAAGUAUCCCGCCUGGGGAGUACGGCCGCAAGGUUGAA
Molecule: ribosomal RNA, 376 nt
Filed under: uncultured bacterium
Lineage: Bacteria
Description: bacterial SSU rRNA
Rfam family: Bacterial small subunit ribosomal RNA
Source: RNAcentral